Molecule: transfer RNA, 73 nt
Filed under: Uromastyx aegyptia aegyptia
Lineage: Eukaryota; Metazoa; Chordata; Lepidosauria; Squamata; Agamidae
Rfam family: tRNA
About the family: Transfer RNA (tRNA) molecules are approximately 80 nucleotides in length.
Source: RNAcentral
GGUAAGAUGGCUGAAUAAAGGCGGCAGGUUGUAAUUCUGCUCAUGGAGGUUUAAUUAAGUCCUCUUCUUUCCA